Molecule: ribosomal RNA, 439 nt
Filed under: uncultured bacterium
Lineage: Bacteria
Description: partial 16S ribosomal RNA
Rfam family: Bacterial small subunit ribosomal RNA
Source: RNAcentral
CUACGGGGUGCAGCAGUGAGGAAUAUUGCACAAUGGGGGGAACCCUGAUGCAGCAACGCCGCGUGGAGGAUGACGCAUUUCGGUGUGUAAACUCCUUUUAUAUGUCAAGAAAAUGACGGUAGCAUAUGAAUAAGCACCGGCUAACUCCGUGCCAGCAGCCGCGGUAAUACGGAGGGUGCAAGCGUUACUCGGAAUCACUGGGCGUAAAGGACGCGUAGGCGGGUUGGAAAGUCGGGUGUGAAAUCCUACAGCUUAACUGUAGAACUGCACUUGAAACUUCUAAUCUAGAGUAUGGGAGGGGGAGAUGGAAUUAGUGGUGUAGGGGUAAAAUCCGUAGAUAUCACUAGGAAUACCUAAAGCGAAGGCGAUCUCCUGGAACAUUACUGACGCUAAGGCGUGAGAGCGUGGGGAGCAAACAGGAUUAGAUACCCCAGUAGUC